UUUUACCUGCUGUGUGCGAUAUUUAUGGUUUUUUUAUAAUCCAACAGUUAUUUGUUGAAGGGAUAGUCUCUUGGCACAGAUGUAUGUCUCUGGUGUAUUGUGCCAGUGAGAAAACGUGAAGUGGUCAAGGCAUUCCCUUAUUUUUGAACUUCAGGGUUUUAAUUUUAACCAUAAAACGGCAUGGUGGGUGAUUU
Molecule: non-coding RNA, 194 nt
Filed under: Oscillospiraceae bacterium
Lineage: Bacteria; Bacillati; Bacillota; Clostridia; Eubacteriales; Oscillospiraceae
Description: 6S RNA
Rfam family: 6S / SsrS RNA
About the family: E. coli 6S RNA was the first non coding RNA to be sequenced, but its function was unknown until recently. It consists of 184 nucleotides that fold into an extended hairpin structure with a large single-stranded internal bulge.
Source: RNAcentral